UUCCGGUUGAUCCCGCCGGACCCCACUGCUAUCGAGGUGGGACUUAUCCAUGCUAGUUGAACGACCCCGGACUAUGGCGGGGAAGUGGCACACUGCUCAGUAACACGUAGCUAACCUAACCUCGGGACGGGCACAACCCCGGGAAACUGGGGCUAAUACCCGAUAGGCGUGGAAUCCUGGAAUGGAUCCACGCCCAAAGGUCAGCGCGCCCAUGUCGUGCGCGCACGCCCGAGGAUGGGGCUGCGGCCGAUCAGGCUGUUGGCGAGGUAAAGGCUCACCAAACCUUUGACCGGUACGGGCCAUGAGAGUGGUAGCCCGGAGAUGGGCACUGAGACAAGGGCCCAGGCCCUGCGGGGCGCAGCAGGCGCGAAACCUCCACAAUUCACGCGAGUGAGAUGGGGUUACCUCGAGUGCCGUCUGAAGAAGGCGGCUUUUCCAUGGUGUAACAAGCCGUGGGAAUAAGGGGGGGGCAAGACUGGUGUCAGCCGCCGCGGUAACACCAGCCCCCCGAGUGGUGGGGAUGAUUAUUUGGCCUAAAGCGUCCGUAGCCGGCUUUGUAAAUCUCUCGUUAAAUCCAGCGUCCUAAGCGUUGGGCUGCGAGAGACACUGCAGAGCUAGAGGGUGGGAGAGGUCAGCGGUAUUCCUGGGGUAGGGGCGAAAUCCAUUGAUCCCAGGAGGACCACCAGUGGCGAAGGCUGCAGUCCAGAACACGCCUGACGGUCAGGGACGAAAGCUGGGGUAGCGAAUCGGAUUAGAUACCCGAGUAGUCCCAGCCGUAAACGAUGCAGCUAGUGUUGGGUCGGGCCACGCGCCGCCUCAGUGCACAGGGAAGCCAUUAAGCCUGCCGCCUGGGGAGUACGGCCGCAAGGCUGAAACUUAAAGGAAUUGGCGGGGGGAGCACCACCAGCGUGAAGCUUGCGUUUAAAUUGGAUUCCAACGCCGGG
RNAcentral lists this ribosomal RNA (944 nucleotides) under uncultured archaeon. Its description in RNAcentral is "bacterial SSU rRNA". It matches the Rfam family "Archaeal small subunit ribosomal RNA", at positions 1 to 922 of the family's 1478-position model. The record is from RNAcentral.